This 116-nucleotide ribosomal RNA is filed under the name Pteropus alecto (black flying fox). RNAcentral also lists the same sequence under 1 other name. Lineage: Eukaryota; Metazoa; Chordata; Mammalia; Chiroptera; Pteropodidae. The record is from RNAcentral.
GUCUACGGCCAUGCCACCCUCAACGUGCCCCAUCUCGUCUGAUCUCAGAAGCUAAGCAGGGUCGGGCCUGGUUAGUACUUGGAUAGACCACUUAUGAAUACCAGGUGCUGUACAUU